AGUGAACGCUGGCGGUAGGCCUAACACAUGCAAGUCGAACGGCAGCACAGUAAGAGCUUGCUCUUACGGGUGGCGAGUGGCGGACGGGUGAGGAAUACAUCGGAAUCUACUUUUUCGUGGGGGAUAACGUAGGGAAACUUACGCUAAUACCGCAUACGACCUACGGGUGAAAGCAGGGGAUCUUCUGACCUUGCGCGAUUGAAUGAGCCGAUGUCGGAUUAGCUAGUUGGCGGGGUAAAGGCCCACCAAGGCGACGAUCCGUAGCUGGUCUGAGAGGAUGAUCAGCCACACUGGAACUGAGACACGGUCCAGACUCCUACGGGAGGAAGCAGUGGGGAAUAUUAGACAAUGGGCGAAAGCCUGAUCCAGCCAUACCGCGUGGGUGAAGAAGGCCUUCGGGUUGUAAAGCCCUUUUGUUGGGAAAGAAAAGCAGCAGGUUAAUACCCCGCUGUUCUGACGGUACCCAAAGAAUAAGCACCGGCUAACUUCGUG
RNAcentral lists this ribosomal RNA (492 nucleotides) under uncultured bacterium. RNAcentral describes it as "partial 16S ribosomal RNA". It matches the Rfam family "Bacterial small subunit ribosomal RNA", at positions 29 to 507 of the family's 1533-position model. The record is from RNAcentral.